This 260-nucleotide ribosomal RNA is filed under the name uncultured prokaryote. RNAcentral describes it as "partial 16S ribosomal RNA". It matches the Rfam family "Bacterial small subunit ribosomal RNA", at positions 524 to 785 of the family's 1533-position model. The record is from RNAcentral.
CACGUAGGGGCGAGCGUUGUCCGGAAUUACUGGGCGUAAAGGGCGCGCAGGCUGUUAUGCGAGUCUGCUGUGAAAUGUACCGGCUCAACCGGUGCCUUGCGGCGGAUACUGCAUAGCUGGAGUACUGGAGAGGGAAGUGGAAUUCCCGGCGUAGCGGUGAAAUGCGUAGAUAUCGGGAGGAACACCGGUGGCGAAGGCGGCUUCUGGCCAGUUACUGACGCUCAUGCGCGAAAGCUGGGGUAGCGAACCGGAUUAGAUAU